CUUUCUCAGGACUUUCCAGGUUUUAGCACUGAAAGUCUCACAUCCCUGAAAUCCACUUGCUAGAAACCCCUCAGUCCUGAGCAAAUCAGGGCAUUUGGUCCUCUUAUGCAGAGGGGUGGAUGGUGCUAAGGAAUGUUAGAGGGUAGGGAGGGACAGAGGGUGGCAGCCUCCAAGAAGCAGAUUCUGGAUAUUCUUAGCAAAAGCCGGAAAGAAAAUGGCUUUCCUGCAACCCAUGUGGCUGGCUCAACUCUUCACUUACAGGAGACAUGAGUGAGUUUGGGUCAAGUUUUUAAUAAAUGAAGCCACAACUUUGGCAGAUUUGUUAGCACUGCAGUUACACAGAGUGGAAGAUGAUGUCCGAAGGAUUGUGGACAAGGCGGUAAAAGAGCUGGGGACUGAGAAGGUUAUUACUGAAAUCAGUCAGACCUGGGCAACCGUGAAGUUUUCUUAUGAAGUUCACUAUCGAACAGGCAUUCCAUUACUAAAGUUUGAUGAACAACUUUUUGAAACUCUAGAGCACAACCAAGUUCAGUUGCAGACUCUUCUUCAAAGCAAGUAUGUAGAAUAUUUCAUUGAGCAAGUGUUAAGCUGGCAAAAUAAAUUAAACAUAGCAGACUUGGUCAUCUUCACUUGGAUGGAAGUCCAGCGAACUUGGUCUCACCUGGAAAGCAUUUUUGUCUGUUCAGAAGAUAUUCGAAUCCAGCUUGUGAAAGAUGCUAGAAGAUUUGAUGGGG
Molecule: small RNA, 734 nt
Filed under: Pongo abelii (Sumatran orangutan)
Lineage: Eukaryota; Metazoa; Chordata; Mammalia; Primates; Hominidae
Description: processed transcript
Source: RNAcentral